CAGCAGCCGCGGUAAUGCGGAGGGGGCUAGCGUUGUUCGGAAUUACUGGGCGUAAAGCGCACGUAGGCGGCUUGGUAAGUUAUAGGUGAAAGCCUGGAGCUCAACUCCAGAAUUGCCUUUAAGACUGCCGAGCUAGCAGGUGAGAGAGGUAAGUGGAAUUCCGAGUGUAGAGGUGAAAUUCGUAGAUAUUCGGAAGAACACCAGUGGCGAAGGCGGCUUACUGGCUCAUACUGGACGCUGAGGUGCGAAAGCGUGGGGAGCAAACAGGAUUAGAUACCCGCGUAGUCCCUGUCUCUUAUAC
This 301-nucleotide ribosomal RNA is filed under the name uncultured bacterium. RNAcentral describes it as "partial 16S ribosomal RNA". It matches the Rfam family "Bacterial small subunit ribosomal RNA", at positions 509 to 807 of the family's 1533-position model. The record is from RNAcentral.